GAAGAGAGAGUUCAAGAGUACGUGAAACCGUCUGGGAGUAAACGGGUGGUACCCGAAAGUACGAAAGGGGAGAUUCAGGUCUCGCCGCGCGUCGGGCGGCGGCCGCGACCAGAGAUGGCGUUUCCGCGGCCGGGGGGCGACCCUCGGUCCGGGGNNNGCGCCACUCCGCUGCCGCCGUUCACUGUCCCGGCGCCGGAGUGACGCACUUCUCCCCCUGUAGGACGUCGCGACCCGUCGGGCGCCGGCCUAAGGCCCCGGGUGGAGUCUGCGCGGUCCGCUCUCCCUUCGGGGGGGCUGCCUGCGCACGACCCCGGGGACCCCGGCCGGGUGCUCGACGGUACGAAGCGAGGAAGGAGUCGACGCGCCGAACGUUCGGCGUCCGGCCCUCCGCAAGCGCCCGCGGGAGUCCGGGCUUCCGGGCCCGGCCCGAUCCCGGAUCCUCCGCGGGGCUGUUUGCGAUUUGGAGGUGACCUCGGAC
RNAcentral lists this ribosomal RNA (478 nucleotides) under Sinorogomphus sp. JLW-2007. Its description in RNAcentral is "eukaryotic LSU rRNA". Lineage: Eukaryota; Metazoa; Arthropoda; Insecta; Odonata; Chlorogomphidae. The record is from RNAcentral.